UACGUAGGGUGCAAGCGUUGUCCGGAAUUAUUGGGCGUAAAGAGCUCGUAGGCGGUCAGUCGCGUCUGCUGUGAAAACUCGGGGCUUAACUCCGGGCCUGCAGUGGGUACGGGCAGACUAGAGUGUGGUAGGGGAGACUGGAAUUCCUGGUGUAGCGGUGAAAUGCGCAGAUAUCAGGAGGAACACCGAUGGCGAAGGCAGGUCUCUGGGCCACUACUGACGCUGAGAAGCGAAAGCAUGGGGAGCGAACAGG
This 253-nucleotide ribosomal RNA is filed under the name uncultured bacterium. RNAcentral's name for it is "partial 16S ribosomal RNA". It matches the Rfam family "Bacterial small subunit ribosomal RNA", at positions 524 to 776 of the family's 1533-position model. The record is from RNAcentral.